CUGUGCCUCCUGAUUGCUGAGUGUUCACCUGGACCUUCUGACCACCUUCCUUCUGCUGGUCCAUCAGCCUACACAUCUGAUACUUGGAUUUUUGCUCAUGGUGAUUUCUGCCAACUUACUACUGAAGAAGACACCAUUCCAGUGGACCACUGUGAGCCAAGAGGCGUUCAACCAUGAUGAUGUGGCCUUGACCUCCACUCCAAUUCUGGUCUGCCCAGAUUCAGCACAGCCCUUUA
Molecule: unclassified non-coding RNA, 236 nt
Organism: Chinchilla lanigera (long-tailed chinchilla)
Lineage: Eukaryota; Metazoa; Chordata; Mammalia; Rodentia; Chinchillidae
Source: Ensembl